RNAcentral lists this ribosomal RNA (255 nucleotides) under uncultured bacterium. RNAcentral describes it as "partial 16S ribosomal RNA". It matches the Rfam family "Bacterial small subunit ribosomal RNA", at positions 99 to 354 of the family's 1533-position model. The record is from RNAcentral.
CGGACGGGUGAGUAACGCGUGGAUAACCUGCCGUAUACCGGGGGAUAACACUUAGAAAUAGGUGCUAAUACCGCAUGAGCGCACAGCUCCGCAUGGAGCGGUGUGAAAAACUCCGGUGGUAUACGAUGGAUCCGCGUCUGAUUAGCCAGUUGGCGGGGUAACGGCCCACCAAAGCGACGAUCAGUAGCCGGCCUGAGAGGGUGAACGGCCACAUUGGGACUGAGACACGGCCCAGACUCCUACGGAAGGCAGCAG